Non-coding RNA from Meleagris gallopavo (turkey), 2724 nucleotides. The record is from RefSeq and is a predicted model, not a curated record. Lineage: Eukaryota; Metazoa; Chordata; Aves; Galliformes; Phasianidae.
UGCCUGUGGUAGGGGGGUUGGAGAUUCAUGAUCCUUGGGGUUCCUUCCAACCCAAGCUAUUCUGUGAUUCUGUGAUGGUGGUUAUGCUCAACUGAUGGAUGUGUAGGAACCUUGAAGUUUCUUAAGGUUUUUAGGCAUGUCCAAAACUUGGGCAGGUCACAUAAUUGCCUAGAAAUACAAAGCUCUCACUGAAGUGCUGUUAUUGUAAAUAUGCUUUUCCUGUCAUUCUUUAGCAUUAAAAUAAUGCAUAAUUGUGUUAGCCUUUAAAACUGUAAGUUGUUUCUUGAGGAAUCAUUUUGAGGUAAGCUAUGAAGACUUUGCAACUGACAAGUUUUCCAUGCAGAUAUUUGCCCUCUUUCCCAAAAUGCCUUCUUAUCUCCUCAGUAGUGUUAGAAACUUCAGCUGAUCCUCCAGCAGCAGCUGUUACAAGCUGUUACAGUUCCAGAUAAGUAACUCUUGAAGUGGUACAGCUCCAAGCUGCUCUCAUGCUCUACAGGAGUUCCAGAGGGUCUUCUGUUACUGGAAGGGCUCAUCAAGGCACUAACAAGAGCCUGGACCACGACAGCCAAGGAGACCGCCUUCCCUCCCCAUGACUUGAGGAGAGCUGACACUGAAGCGGGCUAUCAUCAGCCAGGGUUUCCAUGAGUCACACUUCAUCUAACAGCAGCCUUCACCACCGCAGUAGGAGCUUCAGACUGCAGUAAUCCCCCACCAUGGGGAAAUUAAAGACUUCUGGUGGCUUUGAGUGUCUUCAUCCUGAGGUUUCAGUGUGCUUUGGAUUGCGCCUCAUUCGUCACAUGGAACAAUUCCAGCAUUUCAAUACAAAAGAUACAAGAAAAGCUUCUUCCAAGUUUAGCUCCACACAAUCCUUUUCUGAUAUAAUCUGUUUGAUGUUAGGGUUAGCCUCAAACUCACAAAGGAUUGUGAUAAAUUACCUGCAGUUCCCACUCUGUGUCUAUGACGUACAUAUACAUGUGUGUCAUGGAAUCAUUCAAGCUGGAAAAGAUCAAGUCCAACCAUCAGCCCAUCCCCACCGCGCCCAUUAACCAUGUCCCUAAAGUGCCACAUCUACAUGUUACUUGGAACGCUUCCACCUUCACCACUUACACCUGUGCACAACUUCAACUAUAAUGGAUGGGCCUCUCAGUGUUACUGAAGCAACCAAAUAUGUUGAAGCCUAAGGUCAGUAGCAGGACAUGUGCGCAAUGACCUGCCUGGUUUAGUAUUGCAGGGAUGUCCCCAAGCCUCUGCUGUAUGAAGCUGCAUUGUGUGGAGCACUGGAACAGUCAGCCCCAAGACUUGCUCUAAAUUGCCUAAAUCUGUAUAUAGUAUGAAAAUAGUGGAAAUCUUUGAAGUUUGUUGGAUAUAUCUGAACUACAGGGGAAUUGACAGUUGGCUCUCUGAAAAUGGAUCUUUGCAGCACAGUUUGUUCAAUUCAUCAGCUCUGGAGGUAAGCGGUGCCAAAAAAAGAUGCUUUAGUGCUUCUCCAUCUUUUUGUGUGUAAAGGCCUCUGGUUCUUGCUGAACUGGGCACCUGGAGGGGCUGCUCAGGAUGAGUGGCCUUGAUGGGGCAGCUUCUCCUGCAGGAGGAAGGGGAGAAUAACUGCUGGUGAUGGGAACAGAAGACUAAAGAAUUAAAGCCUACAAACAAAUGGAACAAAUGUCCAAAGAGGCAAAAAGCUGAAACACAAACUACACAUGGGGCAGAUCUGUUUUGGAGCUGAAUGAUGUCCUCAGUAUCCUGGGAGGAUAGUUUUGGUGUGAGUGCAGUGGUAGAGCACUUGGAGAAAGACUCAGAGCUGCUGCUGCUUCUGGUGUGAAGGUAAUGGUUGUGCUCGUUCUGGAAGGUGAGGACAGCCUGCUGGCUGGUGAAUGGAGCUGCAGGAGCUGGCUUCCUCAUGCACCCAGAGUCUGUCCUGCCUCUCCUCGUGCUGCAGACCUGACUGUGGAAUCUCCUCCUCUGCAGCAAAGCCAUGAGGGCUGCUGGCAGCUGCAAGCCUCGGCAUUUGGCUUGUGAGCCCAGUGAGUAAAUUUGAGCUGGAAAUGAUUGCAAAAUCUUAAUUUGGGGAACAGAAGGUCAAGCUGGCUAUAGACCUUCAGGGUGUACCUUGGGAUGUGUGUGUGUCCUUCACCUCUGCUAGAGUGAAGGACAGUGGGGCUUCCCCAGCCUCUCUGAGGGCUCCGCUGCUCAGCAUCCUCCUUUCAUCUCUCUGCUGUAAAUUUAGGGUGGAAAUGGGGAUUCCCAGACUGACAGUUUCCUUCCAGAAAGCUGCCACAGCCCAAAGCCUGGCUUCAGCUGCCUGUGCAGUUGCCAGACCCAUCUAGUAAAUAAUUCAGCAUUCAUAAAAGCCUUUGUGUGUUCUUGACAGCAAAAUGAAUUAUGUAAACACGGAUCUGAUUCUUUUUGUCUGUUCCAGGAUGGAAACGCUCAUAGUGCCAGGGGACUCUGAAGCCAAGCACAAAUGUUGCCAGUCCAGACGUGGAACAGCUCUCCUGAAGUCAGCACUCCUUCCUGCCGUACUGCUGUGCCCAGCAUGUAUAAGGUUUGGCUGAUGAAAUCCCUGCUCAUCCUAACCAGCACUAUGGGAGCAGAUCUAAGCCUGCAAUGCACAGACCAGCUCAGAAAGACACUGUGUGGUGUGGGAAAAAGAGCAGUUUGUUUCUUAAUGUAAAGCAGAGCCCUCUGCUCACUGAUUAAUAAAUAUUUGGCCAGAACAAAACUGUA